GACUCGUGUGUGUGUGUGUGUGUGUGUGUGUGUGUGUGUGUGUGUGUGCAGGGGGCGCCCACCCUCCGGAGGCCCACCCCCGCCUUGCCCGACCCCCAGG
RNAcentral lists this microRNA precursor (100 nucleotides) under Sorex araneus (European shrew). Its description in RNAcentral is "miRNA (ENSSARG00000016969.1)". Lineage: Eukaryota; Metazoa; Chordata; Mammalia; Eulipotyphla; Soricidae. The record is from RNAcentral.